AAGUCGUAACAAGGUAUCCGUAGGUGAACCUGCGGAUGGAUCAUUACUGAGUUGGACUGCGUUGUAGUCUUUCUAUAUUUGACUAUUGUGCAUUGUUUACCGGCGUUCGCGCCGUGAUUUUCACCAUUGAUUGAAUACACAUACAUAAAAUACGCAUAAAACUUUUAGCAACGGAUCUCUAGGCUCUC
Molecule: unclassified non-coding RNA, 188 nt
Filed under: fungal sp.
Lineage: Eukaryota; Fungi
Description: partial internal transcribed spacer region
Rfam family: Eukaryotic small subunit ribosomal RNA (bases 1-46)
Source: RNAcentral